Molecule: ribosomal RNA, 413 nt
Filed under: uncultured Glomus
Lineage: Eukaryota; Fungi; Glomeromycota; Glomeromycetes; Glomerales; Glomeraceae
Description: bacterial SSU rRNA
Rfam family: Eukaryotic small subunit ribosomal RNA
Source: RNAcentral
UAUCAGUGUUUAAUUGACGGAAGUUUGAGGCAAUAACAGGUCUGUGAUAUCCUUAGAUGUUCUGGAUCGCACGUGUGCUACACCUAUAAAGUCAACGAGUUCAUAUCCUUUAUCGAAAGAUAUGGGUAAUCUUUUGAAACUUCAUCGUGAUGGGAAUAGAGCAUUGCAAUUAUUGCUCUUCAACAAGGAAUCCCUAGUAAGCACAAGUUAUCAGCUUGUGUUGAUUACAUCUCUACCCUUUGUACACACCGCCUGUCGCUACUACCGAUUGAAUGGCUUAGUGAGACCCUCAGAUUAGUAUUCAGAAGCUUUAACUGGCAUCUGUUUGCUGAGAAGUUGGUUAAACUUGAUCAUUUAGAGGAAGUAAAAGUCAUAAUAAGGUUUCCAUAGGUGAACCUGCGAAAGGAUCAUUA